UACGAAGGGAGCUAGCGUUGUUCGGAAUUACUGGGCGUAAAGCGCACGUAGGCGGAUUUGUAAGUCAGGGGUGAAAUCCCGGGGCUCAACCUCGGAACUGCCUUUGAUACUGCAAAUCUCGAGUCCGGAAGAGGUGAGUGGAAUUCCUAGUGUAGAGGUGAAAUUCGUAGAUAUUAGGAAGAACACCAGUGGCGAAGGCGGCUCACUGGUCCGGUACUGACGCUGAGGUGCGAAAGCGUGGGGAGCAAACAGG
RNAcentral lists this ribosomal RNA (253 nucleotides) under uncultured bacterium. RNAcentral's name for it is "partial 16S ribosomal RNA". It matches the Rfam family "Bacterial small subunit ribosomal RNA", at positions 524 to 776 of the family's 1533-position model. The record is from RNAcentral.